CCUANGGGGGGCAGCAGUGAGGAAUAUUGCGCAAUGGGGGCAACCCUGACGCAGCGACGCCGCGUGGAUGAUGAAGGCCUUCGGGUCGUAAAAUCCUGUCAGAUGGGAAGAAGUGCAUGGUGGUUAAUACCCGCCAUGUUUGACGGUACCAUCAGAGGAAGCACCGGCUAACUCCGUGCCAGCAGCCGCGGUAAUACGGAGGGUGCAAGCGUUGUUCGGAAUUACUGGGCGUAAAGCGCGCGUAGGCGGUUUGUUAAGUCAGAUGUGAAAGCCCAGGGCUUAACCUUGGACGUGCAUUUGAAACUGGCAGACGUGAGUAUUGGAGGGGGUGGUGGAAUUCCCGGUGUAGAGGUGAAAUUCGUAGAUAUCGGGAGGAAUACCGGUGGCGAAGGCGACCACCUGGCCAAAUACUGACGCUGAGGUGCGAAAGCGUGGGGAGCAAACAGGAUUAGAUACCCGUNUANUC
RNAcentral lists this ribosomal RNA (466 nucleotides) under uncultured bacterium. Its description in RNAcentral is "bacterial SSU rRNA". It matches the Rfam family "Bacterial small subunit ribosomal RNA", at positions 338 to 795 of the family's 1533-position model. The record is from RNAcentral.